This 253-nucleotide ribosomal RNA is filed under the name uncultured bacterium. Its description in RNAcentral is "partial 16S ribosomal RNA". It matches the Rfam family "Bacterial small subunit ribosomal RNA", at positions 524 to 776 of the family's 1533-position model. The record is from RNAcentral.
UACGUAGGGUGCGAGCGUUGUCCGGAAUUAUUGGGCGUAAAGAGCUUGUAGGCGGUCUGUCGCGUCUGCUGUGAAAAUCCGGGGCUCAACCCCGGACCUGCAGUGGGUACGGGCAGACUAGAGUGUGGUAGGGGAGACUGGAAUUCCUGGUGUAGCGGUGAAAUGCGCAGAUAUCAGGAAGAACACCCGUGGCGAAGGCGGCUUUCUGGGACGGUACUGACGCUGAGACGCGAAAGCGUGGGGAGCGAACAGG